GACGAACGCUGGCGGCGCGCCUAACACAUGCAAGUCGAACGGCACUGCGGUAAGCUUGCUUUUCUUAGCUUAGUGGCGGACGGGUGAGUGACGCGUGCGUAGCCUGCCAUUUUGUGGGGGACAACAGCGGGAAACGACUGCUAAUACCACAUCAGCCCACGAUCCGGCAUAGGCAUGAGGGAUAAGGAUUUAUUCGGUUCAGGAUGGACUCUCGUCGAAUUGCCUAGUUGGUGAGGUAACGGCCAACCAAGGCAACAUUAGGUAGCCGGGCGGGGAGGUUGAACGGCCACACUGGGACGGAGACACAGCCCAGAAUCUUACGGGAGGGAGCAGUGGGGGAUAUUGCAAAAUCGGGGAAAUGCUGAUGCAGCGACGCCGCGUGGAGGAAGAAGUUUUUCGGAUUGUAAACUCCGGUAGUAAGGGACGAUAAUGACGGUACCUAACAAGAAAGCACCGGCUAACUACGUG
RNAcentral lists this ribosomal RNA (468 nucleotides) under uncultured bacterium. RNAcentral describes it as "partial 16S ribosomal RNA". It matches the Rfam family "Bacterial small subunit ribosomal RNA", at positions 28 to 507 of the family's 1533-position model. The record is from RNAcentral.